Molecule: ribosomal RNA, 253 nt
Filed under: uncultured bacterium
Lineage: Bacteria
Description: partial 16S ribosomal RNA
Rfam family: Bacterial small subunit ribosomal RNA
Source: RNAcentral
UACGGAGGGGGCUAGCGUUGUUCGGAAUUACUGGGCGUAAAGCGUACGUAGGCGGCUUUGUAAGUUAGAGGUGAAAGCCCGGGGCUCAACUCCGGAAUUGCCUUUAAGACUGCAUCGCUUGAAUCAUGGAGAGGUGAGUGGAAUUCCGAGUGUAGAGGUGAAAUUCGUAGAUAUUCGGAAGAACACCAGUGGCGAAGGCGGCGAUCUGGGAAGAUACUGACGCUGAGGUGCGAAAGCGUGGGGAGCAAACAGG